RNAcentral lists this unclassified non-coding RNA (480 nucleotides) under Hevea brasiliensis (rubber tree). The record is from RNAcentral. Lineage: Eukaryota; Viridiplantae; Streptophyta; Magnoliopsida; Malpighiales; Euphorbiaceae.
AGAAAGUGACAUUCUUAAAAGUAAAAAGUUCACACUUUUACAUAUACAUAUAGAAGACCAAAAUUCUACAUGAACAAGAUAGCCUUCUCUAUUCACCUUUCACCUUGUUAACAAUGUACCUACCUCAAGCAUGGUUGAGUCCAUUGGUGUUUUUAACUUGUUGAUCCUCCGAAACGAUCUUCUUCCAGAACCAAUGCUUUUCCCAAAGACGCAUCAUCUCUUCAAUCGGAACUCCCUUCGUUUCAGGCAAGAACAGAUAGAUGAAUAUCGUCAUGACAGCAAUCCAACAGGAGAAAAACAGGAAAAUCCCGAACCUCAUAGCACAUAAAAGUGAGAGGAAAGACUGUGCUAUCGCAAAUGUGAAGAACAAAUUCACAGUAACUGUGAUACUUUGGCCUGCUGAUCUCGUCUCUAAAGGGAAAAUUUCACUUGGCACGGUCCAUCCAAGAGGCCCCCAUGAGUAUCCAAACGCCGCUACAA